UGUUAAAAAUUCUAUCUAUUUCUACUAUUAAAAACUAGUGUAGUUGACAAAAUAACCAGAUAGUUACAUGUGAUGUGCUAUGUAUACUUGAUGUUGAUAUACAAAGACCAACUUUUAACAGUAGAAGUGGAUGAAAUUUUAAUA
Molecule: non-coding RNA, 144 nt
Organism: Gossypium arboreum
Lineage: Eukaryota; Viridiplantae; Streptophyta; Magnoliopsida; Malvales; Malvaceae
Source: Rfam